RNAcentral lists this long non-coding RNA (988 nucleotides) under Triticum aestivum (bread wheat). RNAcentral's name for it is "long non-coding RNA (TAES_LNC015090)". Lineage: Eukaryota; Viridiplantae; Streptophyta; Magnoliopsida; Poales; Poaceae. The record is from RNAcentral.
GUUCAGUGGGGUUAUACUCGUGCUUAUGCUACUGAACAAUUGUCCUAGCAUGUUACUUGGAAUUUGGGCAUGGUACUGUGGUGAUUUGCAGGUUAUUAGCUUUUGUACUUCUCGAUGGCUUGUAGCUAGAAUUACAGAGUUGUAUAAGAACCGAAAUUACUACGCUAGACUUGAGUUGUGAUUUGCCAUAGUAAAGUGUUUACUCCUAUAGUUCUUAUGGUAUCUUUAAAUAGACAUCUAUAUUGAGUGUAUCUGUAUUGCCCCUCUGUUCUUAGUAAUCUACUUCAUUUACAUUGCCUCUGAAUGCUGGAAUUAUGAAUGUUUGUUAGGAGUAGUAAAUACUAAUGAAUUGAUUUUGCUGAGAGUCAAGUGUAGUCAUAUUUGUGAAUGUGCCUUCUAUAAGGUUUGUGAAUUUGAAAAAAAAACUACUUAUAUUGUACAGUGUGAUCUUGCAUUUAUAUACAAUAACAUCAAAUAGGAAAAAUACAUAUUGCAUUAGAAUUAUAUAUGUUUGAGUAAAUAGGCCUUCUGACAAUUGUAAUCUCAGUUUCUUCAUUUGUUUUAGAAUACAAAAAUAGGCCGUCUGACAAUUGUUUAAUUGAGAAGUGUGAUGCACAUUCUUUUAGAGGCACAAUAGUUUCCUUUCCUCCACAAUAUGUACUGUGCAUAUAAUGAUCAUUUCUUAUUUCCUUAUUCUGUAUCAGCUAGAUGCUGAUUGGUGUAGUAUUUUAACAGCUGUGCAGGAUCAUUUGCUGCCUGUACCAGAGUGUGAAUGACACCAUCGACUUCUACCUCCUCCAUCUCAAGGACAAAUCUCUUGCAACCCAUGGUGUUGCAUUUGAAGUGUUCAUUUGUAAUCAGGUAGUGAUUAUUAUCUGUGUAAUGUAUGAUGUUUUGGAUUUCUUUUGUAAAUGUUGGCAAUGUGGCUUUAGUGUUGUACCAGUGAUGGUUGUUGUAAUUGAAUGAAACAAUUUAAUAGAAAAUUGUG